CACCACUCAAGAGAGUUAUAUGGGCUAUUAGCUUCUUGAGUCAUCUAGCCCAUUCAGUUAAAUAUUUUAGGCUCUCUUGUUUUGAAUUUAGGAAUAUUUUCUAAACUCUUUUGUAAGUGCCUAUUGGCCUAGGAACCACUUUCCUACGGCUUUUGUAUUUCUUCUUCAUAGUAGAAAUAUUGCUCCUCUCUCGCCCGUGGACGUAGGUCAAUUUGACCGAACCACGUAAAUCUUUUGUGUCUCUUAUUUGCUUUGUUAUCCGUCUUUAUAUGGUCGGUUUUACCGCCUAAUUAUUAUAUGGCUGGUAUCUACCGCCUAUCUAUUAAAUGGUCGGUUAUACCGCUUAAUUUGUGCUAACUUGAGUUUGUCUAUUUCCUGGCCCGGUCCUAACAAACUGGUAUCAGAGUUGGUUGUUAUAUUUUGCAAGACAGGUUCAUCUGGUGGGGCCCGUUCAUCUGGUGGGGUCCGUCCAUCCUGUGGGGCCCACUCACCUUGUGGGGUCCGUUCAUCCCCGUGGGGCCCGCUUAUCUCGUGGGGCCCGCUCACCCUGUGGGGCCCGCUCACGAGACUUGCAUAUUUGUUUGGCCAGUUUUUUGAGACAAACUUCACGUUACAGAUUUUGUGGCAACAAUGACGAUAACAAAGACGGUUGUCGAGAAAUUCGACAGGAAUGUCAACUUCGGAAUGUGGCAGCUCAAGAUGGAGGCCAUUCUUGUUCAAGACGGAGUUGACUUGGCAAUUCAAGGAAUUGAGAAAAAGCCAGAAGAUGUGACAGAUGCAAAUUUUGCUGAGAUGGAUAAGAAGGCAAGAUCCAGUAUUAUCCUAAAUCUCUCCGAUGAGGUAUUGCGUGAGGUAGCAAUGGAGACUUCGGCCAAGGCUAUGUGGGAUAAAUUGAAAGCCUUGUAUAUGAAGAAGACAGUCGAGAAUCGGCUAUAUUUGAAGCAAAGUUUGUACAUGCUUCGGAUGUCUGAAGGUACAUCUAUACUCUCCCAUCUUGAUAAAUUUGAUUCCAUUAUUAUGGAUUUGGGGAAUAUAGAUUCGAAAAUUGAUGAUGAAGAUUAAGCCCUAUUACUUUUGUGUUCCCUUCCCCAAUCUUUUAAACAUUUCCGUGAUACUAUGAUAUAUGGAAAGGAAACAAUUUCGUAUCGAAAAAUUAAAUCUGCAUUAAAAUCUAAAGAGCAGAUAGAUAGGGAUAUUACUGGGGAAACUAGUGGGAGUCAAGCCGAUGGCUUGUUUGUUAGGGGUAGAUCUGAAAGGAGAAACACAGAAAAUAGAAGUAGAUCUAAGUCCAGACAUAAAAAUGUGGUGUGCAACUAUUGUAAAAAGAAGGGCCAUAUUAUCUCUGAUUGGUUUAAAUUGAAAAAUAAAGAAAAGCAAAAGGAGAAAAGGAGUGAAACCACCGAGGCUAGUAUUGCCGUUGAUGAAAAUGAUGGAACUAUUUUCUGUGCAACGGAAAAUAAUUUUAGGUCUCACAAUGAGUGGAUUUUAGAUUCGGGUUGUUCAUAUCAUAUGUGUCCCAAUAGGGACUGGUUUUCAACAUAUGAAUCAACUGAAGGUGGAGUUGUCUUAAUGGGCAACAACGCUGUUUGUAAAGUUAUUGGCAAAAACACAAUCCGGAUUAAAAUGUACGAUGGUAUUGUGAGGACGCUCACAAAUGUUAGACAUGUUCCAGAUUUGAAGAAAAAUCUCAUCUUUUUGGGCACUCUUGAGUCUAUCGGGUGCAGGUAUUCAGGUGGAGACGGAGUUCUUAAAAUCACUCGAGGAGCUCUUGUUGUUAUGAAAGCACACAAAUCUGGUACUUUGUAUAUUUUGCAGGGAUCUACUGUGACAGGUGCUGCUGCUGUUUCAACAUCAUCUUUGUCAGAUACAGACAUCACCAAAUUAUGGCAUAUGCGUUUGGGGCAUAUGAGCGAAAAAGGCUUGGGCAUACUGAGCAAAAGAGGACUUUUGUGUGGACAAAGUACCGGUCCAUUGGAAUUCUGUGAACAUUGUAUUUUUGGGAAGCAGAAAAGAGUCAGCUUCAGUUCACCAGCAAUUCACAAGACAAAAGGCACUCUUGAUUACAUUCAUUCAGAUCUAUGGGGUCAUUCUCGUGCUCCUUCUAAAGGUGGUGCCAGGUACAUGUUGACUUUCAUUGAUGACUAUUCAAGGAAAGUUUGGGUCUAUUUUCUUAAGCACAAAAAUGAUGUUUUCCUAACUUUUAAGCAAUGGAAAGUUUUGAUUGAGAAACAAACAGGAAAACAUGUUAAGCGGUUGAGAACAGAUAAUGGCAUGGAAUUUUGUGGAGGUGAAUUUAAUGAAUUUUGCAAAAAUGAAGGAAUUGUUCGGCAUCACACCGUCAGGAUGACGCCUCAACAAAAUGGUGUGGCUGAACGUAUGAACAGAACGCUUUUUGAGAGAGUAAGAUGUAUGAUCUCAAAUGCAGGGUUGACAAAUGACUUUUGGGCAGAGGCGAUCAAUAUGGCCUGUUAUAUUGUCAACCGUUCUCCUUCUGCAUCUCUUGAUUUCAAAACUCCUGAGGAAGUUUGGUCAGGUACUCCUGCUGAUUACUCCAAUUUAAAAGUUUUUGGGUGUCCAGCAUACAUGCACGUGAAUGAUGGAAAAUUGGAGUUUAGGGCUAAAAAGUGCAUUUUUCUUGGGUAUGCUUCUGGGGUAAAAGGAUACAGAUUAUGGUAUCCUGAUCCCAAAUCCCCAAAAUUUGUAAUCAGUAGAGAUGUUACUUUUGAUGAAUUAUCUCUGUUAUCUUCCAAGAAGGAGUCUUCUAGUCCUUGUACUACUGAUAGUACACAGAAGCAGGUGGAGCUUGAUAUUGGCAGUUCUGGUCCUUCUCAAUCCAAAUCUUCUAUUCAACAAGUGCCAGUAGAUACACCUGAAUCUACUGUUGAAGAUAGUUCAGAAGAAGAGGAGUAUUCCAUAGCCAGAGAUAGAGCAAGGAGAGACAUUCGACCACCACAAAGAUAUGCAAAUUUAGUUGCAUAUGCUUUGUCUGUUGCAGAAGAAACUGAUGCAGUUGGUAAGCCUUCCACCUAUUCAGAAGCAGUUUCUUGUGAUGAUUCUGCAAAGUGGUUGAUUGCGAUGAAUGAAGAAAUUGAAUCUAUUCAUCAGAAUGAAACUUGGGUUCUUGUAAAGCCGCCGUCAGCUAAGAAAAUUGUUGGUUGCAAGUGGGUCUUCAAGAAAAAGGAAGGUAUUCCAGGGGUUGAAGAUGCAAGGUAUAAAGCACGAUUAGUUGCAAAGGGCUAUAAUCAGGUACAAGGUGUUGAUUUUAAUGAUAUAUUCUCACCUGUUGUUAAACAUAGCUCUAUUCGUGUUUUGCUUGCUUUAGUUGCCAUGUAUAAUUUGGAGUUAGAACAGCUCGACGUUAAGACAGCUUUCUUAUAUGGCGAACUUGAAGAACAAAUUUAUAUGAAACAACCCCAGGGUUUUGAAAUUGAAGGUAAGGAAGACCAUGUUUGCUUGUUGAAGAAAUCCUUAUAUGGAUUGAAGCAGUCUCUAAGACAAUGGUAUAAAAGGUUUGAUUCCUUUAUGUUGGGUCAUGGUUAUUUGAGGAGCAUGUAUGAUAGUUGUGUUUACUUCCGGAAGUUAAAUGAUGGUUCUUCCAUUUAUUUGCUGCUUUAUGUUGAUGACAUGCUCAUUGCUGCCAAGAAUUUGUCAGAAAUUCACACCUUGAAACUGCAGUUAAAUAGUGAAUUUGAAAUGAAAGAUUUGGGAGCAGCUAAGAAAAUUCUUGGCAUGGAUAUCAAGCGAGAUCGAGGAGUAGGGAAGUUAUUUUUGACCCAGAAAAAUUACCUUGAAAAAGUUUUGGAGCGUUUUGGCAUGAAAGAUGCUAAACCAGUAUCUACUCCUCUUGCUAGCCAUUUUCGGCUAUCUGCUGCUCAAUCACCAAAAUCAGAUGAAGAGGAAGAUUAUAUGGCACGGGUUCCUUAUUCCAGUGCAGUCGACAGUAUUAUGUAUGCAAUGGUUUGUACUCGUUCAGAUAUUGCACAAGCAGUCAGUGUUGUUAGCAGAUAUAUGUCUUGCCCUGGUAAAACACAUUGGCAGGCUGUGAAGUGGAUUCUCAGAUAUUUGCGAGGUACUUCAAAUGCAUGUUUGGAGUUUGGAAGGAAUAAUAACACUUUGGUUGGUUUUGUAGACUCAGACUACGCUGGGGAUCUUGACAGGAGAAGAUCACUUUCAGGCUAUGUAUUUUGCAUUGGCGGUUGUGCUGUUAGUUGGAAAGCUACUCUACAACCUGUCGUAGCUUUGUCUACUACAGAAGCAGAAUAUAUGGCUGUGACCGAGGCAAUCAAAGAAGCCUUGUGGUUGAAGAAUUUAUUUAGCGAGUUAAGUCUAUAUCAAGGUGUUACUGAUAUUCACUGUGAUAGUCAAAGUGCCAUACACUUGACUAAAGAUCAGAUGUAUCAUGAGAGGACGAAACACAUUGAUGUGAAGUAUCACUUCAUUCGGGAUAUCAUUGCUGAGGGAAAAGUCCUUAUUCAGAAAAUCAAUACUAAGGACAAUCCAGCCGAUAUGUUUACGAAACCUCUUCCAGUUUACAAGUUCAAGCAGUGCUUGGACUUGAUUGGUGUUCGUUUGUGAUUUAAGCCCAUUGGGGCUUAUGUGAAGAAGGUGGAGAAAUUUUUACUAUUGUCGAUGAUAGAAUUCAAAAUUAUGCCAAGGUGGAGAUUUGUUGUUUUGUCAGAGCCGCAAGCUUUGACUUGUGGCAUAAUUUUUCAUUUCCUUCUCAUCCCACAUCGGAGCCUGCUGAAGAGAAGCCGGCUACUCGAGGCCUAUAAAUAGAAGGGUCCAUUGAAGGAUUUAACUUGCACCACUCAAGAGAGUUAUAUGGGCUAUUAGCUUCUUGAGUCAUCUAGCCCAUUCAGUUAAAUAUUUUAGGCUCUCUUAUUUUGAGUUUAGGAAUAUUUUCUAAACUCUUUUGUAAGUGCCUAUUGGCCUAGGAACCACUUUCCUACGGCUUUUGUAUUUCUUCUUCAUAGUAGAAAUAUUGCUCCUCUCUCGCCCGUGGACGUAGGUCAAUUUGACCGAACCACGUAAAUCUUUUGUGUCUCUUAUUUGCUUUGUUAUCCGUCUUUAUAUGGUCGGUUUUACCGCCUAAUUAUUAUAUGGCUGGUAUCUACCGCCUAUCUAUU
This 5126-nucleotide long non-coding RNA is filed under the name Coffea arabica (coffee). Its description in RNAcentral is "long non-coding RNA (CARA_LNC000972)". The record is from RNAcentral. Lineage: Eukaryota; Viridiplantae; Streptophyta; Magnoliopsida; Gentianales; Rubiaceae.